This 254-nucleotide ribosomal RNA is filed under the name uncultured bacterium. RNAcentral describes it as "partial 16S ribosomal RNA". It matches the Rfam family "Bacterial small subunit ribosomal RNA", at positions 524 to 776 of the family's 1533-position model. The record is from RNAcentral.
GACGUAGGGUGCAAGCGUUGUCCGGAUUUAUUGGGCGUAAAGAGCUCGUAGGUGGUUCGGUAAGUCGGGUGUGAAACCUCCAGGCUCAACCUGGAGACGCCACCCGAUACUGCUGUGACUGGAGUCCGGUAGGGGAGCGUGGAAUUCCUGGUGUAGCGGUGAAAUGCGCAGAUAUCAGGAGGAACACCAGCGGCGAAGGCGGCGCUCUGGGCCGGUACUGACACUGAGGAGCGAAAGCGUGGGUAGCAAACAGG